RNAcentral lists this ribosomal RNA (882 nucleotides) under Rimora mangrovei. Its description in RNAcentral is "partial large subunit ribosomal RNA". It matches the Rfam family "Eukaryotic large subunit ribosomal RNA", at positions 46 to 943 of the family's 3401-position model. Lineage: Eukaryota; Fungi; Ascomycota; Dothideomycetes; Pleosporales; Aigialaceae. The record is from RNAcentral.
AUAAGCGGAGGAAAAGAAACCAACAGGGAUUGCCCCAGUAACGGCGAGUGAAGCGGCAACAGCUCAAAUUUGAAAUCUGGCCCUUGUCGGGGUCCGAGUUGUAAUUUGUAGAGGGUGCUUUGGCGUCGGCUGCGGUCCAAGUUCCUUGGAACAGGACGUCACAGAGGGUGAGAAUCCCGUACGUGGCUGCGUGCCUUCGCCGUGUAAAGCCCCUUCGACGAGUCGAGUUGUUUGGGAAUGCAGCUCUAAAUGGGAGGUAAAUUUCUUCUAAAGCUAAAUACCGGCCAGAGACCGAUAGCGCACAAGUAGAGUGAUCGAAAGAUGAAAAGCACUUUGGAAAGAGAGUCAAAAAGCACGUGAAAUUGUUGAAAGGGAAGCGCUUGCAGCCAGACGUGCCCGCGGUUGCUCAUCCGGAUCACUGUCCGGUGCACUCUCCCGCGGGCAGGCCAGCAUCGGUUUGGGCGGUUGGAUAAAGGCUCCGGGAAUGUAGCUCCCCCCGGGGAGUGUUAUAGCCCGGUGCGCAAUGCAGCCAGCCCGGACCGAGGCCCGCGCGCAUGCUAGGAUGCUGGCGUAAUGGUUGUAAGCGGCCCGUCUUGAAACACGGACCAAGGAGUCUAACAUCUAUGCGAGUGUUUGGGUGUCAAGCCCGGGCGCGCAAUGAAAGUGAACGGAGGUGGGAACCCCCUCGAGGGCGCACCAUCGACCGAUCCUGAUGUCUUCGGAUGGAUUUGAGUAAGAGCAUAGCUGUUGGGACCCGAAAGAUGGUGAACUAUGCCUGAAUAGGGUGAAGCCAGAGGAAACUCUGGUGGAGGCUCGCAGCGGUUCUGACGUGCAAAUCGAUCGUCAAAUUUGGGCAUAGGGGCGAAAGACUAAUCGAACUAU